This 785-nucleotide ribosomal RNA is filed under the name uncultured eukaryote. RNAcentral's name for it is "partial Bacterial large subunit ribosomal RNA". It matches the Rfam family "Bacterial large subunit ribosomal RNA", at positions 2001 to 2785 of the family's 2925-position model. The record is from RNAcentral.
GUAAUCAUGGCCACGCUGUCUCCACCCAAGACUCAGUGAAAUUGAAAUUGCAGUGAAGAUGCUGUGUCCCCGCACCUAGACGGAAAGACCCCGUGAACCUUUACUAUAGCUUGGCACUGAACAUUGACCCUACAUGUGUAGGAUAGGUGGGAGACUUUGAAGCAUUGUCGCUAGAUGAUGUGGAGUCUACCUUGAAAUACCACCCUUGUAGGUUUGAUGUUCUAACAUAGGUCCCUUAUCGGGAUUGUGGACAGUGUCUGGUGGGUAGUUUGACUGGGGCGGUCUCCUCCCAAAGCGUAACGGAGGAGCACGAAGGUUGGCUAAUCCUGGUCGGACAUCAGGAGGUUAGUGCAAUGGCAUAAGCCAGCUUAACUGCGAGACAGACACGUCGAGCAGGUACGAAAGUAGGUCAUAGUGAUCCGGUGGUUCUGAAUGGAAGGGCCAUCGCUCAACGGAUAAAAGGUACUCCGGGGAUAACAGGCUGAUACCGCCCAAGAGUUCAUAUCGACGGCGGUGUUUGGCACCUCGAUGUCGGCUCAUCACAUCCUGGGGCUGAAGUCGGUCCCAAGGGUAUGGCUGUUCGCCAUUUAAAGUGGUACGCGAGCUGGGUUUAGAACGUCGUGAGACAGUUCGGUCCCUAUCUGGUGUGGGCGUUGGAUGAUUGAAGGGAGCUGCUCCUAGUACGAGAGGACCGGAGUGGACAAACCUCUGGUGUACCGGUUGUCACGCCAGUGGCAUAGCCGGGUAGCUAAGUUUGGAUAAGAUAAGCGCUGAAAGCAUCUAAG